UACGGUAGGGUGCAAGCGUUGUCCGGAAUUAUUGGGCGUAAAGAGCUCGUAGGCGGUCUGUCGCGUCGGCUGUGAAAUCCCGAGGCUCAACCUCGGGUCUGCAGUCGAUACGGGCAAACUAGAGUAUUGCAGGGGAGACUGGAAUUCCUGGUGUAGCGGUGAAAUGCGCAGAUAUCAGGAGGAACACCGGUGGCGAAGGCGGGUCUCUGGGCAAUAACUGACGCUGGAGGAGCGAAAGCCGUGGGGGAGCA
Molecule: ribosomal RNA, 251 nt
Filed under: uncultured bacterium
Lineage: Bacteria
Description: partial 16S ribosomal RNA
Rfam family: Bacterial small subunit ribosomal RNA
Source: RNAcentral